UUGAAUUAAGUACAUAAUUAUUACUACUUACAUCUCAUAAAUAUUUAUGUAUUGUAGUAUACAAAUGUGUAAUAUGAUGAAAUCGGCUAUCUUAGUAACGGUAUCACGAGUUACGCUUGUAACGGCGGGUCGAAAGUAACAAAUGCUCUGUAAGGAUAUCCAACAGUCAAACACCGCGUCGAUGUCGUAAGUUAACAACGGGGUGGUACUCCCCUUCCUUGCGUUCAGUCGCCACGCGCGCCUCGCGCUGCUUGGUUAAGUGAGAAGACGUUUUGUGAUUUCGCACAUCAAACGAUCGUCUAAUACUGAUCGGCCUCUACAAAUAAACAGUGAAAUUCCAUCUAAUGGCGUUUUGACUAUUCUUGAUGCAACAACCCCUACCUAAGUUGAUCCAAAUACUCCAGUUGAUAAUCUUCCAGCGUCGAGUGACCAAAUUAUCGAGCAAACAGUAAACAAUGAUUUGUCAAAUAUAGUAUUAUCUAAUCAAGGAUCCAAUUCGCCUACACCAGAACCUAGCGGGUUACAGCAAGCAAAUUCCUGUCAGCCAUUUGAUUUAACACCUAAAGAUCUGAGACCCUUACCAAAAGCAGGCCCCAGGACUGCAAAAAGCAGAGGAUGUAAAAAACGUGACAGCAAUAUUGACGGACGCCCGAAAAAAACGCAAUUGAGGAAGAACAGAACCUAGAAAAAAUUAAAGCUAAGGGAAGGGUUUUACCACCUGGUACUGGAAAUGACAAGAAAAAGUUACGAAAAAAGUAAAAAAGAGUACGAAAGGCAAGGGAAAAGGAAAAAAGACAAAGAAGGGAGCUGAAGAGAAGGAAAGAAAUUCAGACAACGAAGAUUGUUAUUGUCUCGUUUGUUUAAAAUCCUUUGGCAAUAGCCGGCCAAGUGAACAGUGGGUUCAAUGUCUCUCGUGCAAAAUGUGGUCACACGCCUAUGCAUAUGUCGAUGAUGAUGCUAAUAAAAUGCUGAUUGUAAAAAUGAUUACAUAAAGUUAAAAAAAUACUGAUCUCAUUACUAGAAGAAAUAAUAAUUUGUUUUGUUAACUUAAAAUAUUUUUUUUUAGUUUUUAAGCAUUUUGAAUGCAACUUCUUUGAAUACAAAGACUUUAAGUAAAUAAUAUGUUGAUUUAGUA
Molecule: long non-coding RNA, 1135 nt
Organism: Bicyclus anynana (squinting bush brown)
Lineage: Eukaryota; Metazoa; Arthropoda; Insecta; Lepidoptera; Nymphalidae
Exons: 2
Source: RefSeq, a predicted model, not a curated record